GGGAAUCUUCCACAAUGGACGAAAGUCUGAUGGAGCAACGCCGCGUGAGUGAAGAAGGUUUUCGGAUCGUAAAGCUCUGUUGUUGGUGAAGAAGGAUAGAGGUAGUAACUGGCCUUUAUUUGACGGUAAUCAACCAGAAAGUCACGGCAAAUAACGUGCCAGCAGCCGCGGUAAAACGUAGUAGCCAAGAGUUUUCCGGACAUAUCGGGCGUAAAACGAGC
Molecule: ribosomal RNA, 221 nt
Filed under: uncultured bacterium
Lineage: Bacteria
Description: partial 16S ribosomal RNA
Rfam family: Bacterial small subunit ribosomal RNA
Source: RNAcentral